AUUGAACGCUGGCGGCAGGCUUAACACAUGCAAGUCGAGCGGGGGAAGGUAGCUUGCUACCGGACCUAGCGGCGGACGGGUGAGUAAUGCUUAGGAAUCUGCCUAUUAGUGGGGGACAACAUCUCGAAAGGGAUGCUAAUACCGCAUACGUCCUACGGGAGAAAGCAGGGGAUCUUCGGACCUUGCGCUAAUAGAUGAGCCUAAGUCGGAUUAGCUAGUUGGUGGGGUAACGGCCUACCAAGGCGACGAUCUGUAGCGGGUCUGAGAGGAUGAUCCGCCACACUGGGACUGAGACACGGCCCAGACUCCUACGGGAGGCAGCAGUGGGGAAUAUUGGACAAUGGGCGCAAGCCUGAUCCAGCCAUGCCGCGUGUGUGAAGAAGGCCUUAUGGUUGUAAAGCACUUUAAGCGAGGAGGAGGCUACUUUAGAUAAUACCUAGAGAUAGUGGACGUUACUCGCAGAAUAAGCACCGGCUAACUCUGUGCCAGCAGCCGCGGUAA
This 501-nucleotide ribosomal RNA is filed under the name uncultured bacterium. Its description in RNAcentral is "partial 16S ribosomal RNA". It matches the Rfam family "Bacterial small subunit ribosomal RNA", at positions 30 to 523 of the family's 1533-position model. The record is from RNAcentral.